RNAcentral lists this ribosomal RNA (1137 nucleotides) under Staphylococcus aureus. RNAcentral's name for it is "partial 23S ribosomal RNA". It matches the Rfam family "Bacterial large subunit ribosomal RNA", at positions 316 to 1461 of the family's 2925-position model. Lineage: Bacteria; Bacillati; Bacillota; Bacilli; Caryophanales; Staphylococcaceae. The record is from RNAcentral.
ACAAAGGACGACAUUAGACGAAUCAUCUGGAAAGAUGAAUCAAAGAAGGUAAUAAUCCUGUAGUCGAAAAUGUUGUCUCUCUUGAGUGGAUCCUGAGUACGACGGAGCACGUGAAAUUCCGUCGGAAUCUGGGAGGACCAUCUCCUAAGGCUAAAUACUCUCUAGUGACCGAUAGUGAACCAGUACCGUGAGGGAAAGGUGAAAAGCACCCCGGAAGGGGAGUGAAAUAGAACCUGAAACCGUGUGCUUACAAGUAGUCAGAGCCCGUUAAUGGGUGAUGGCGUGCCUUUUGUAGAAUGAACCGGCGAGUUACGAUUUGAUGCAAGGUUAAGCAGUAAAUGUGGAGCCGUAGCGAAAGCGAGUCUGAAUAGGGCGUUUAGUAUUUGGUCGUAGACCCGAAACCAGGUGAUCUACCCUUGGUCAGGUUGAAGUUCAGGUAACACUGAAUGGAGGACCGAACCGACUUACGUUGAAAAGUGAGCGGAUGAACUGAGGGUAGCGGAGAAAUUCCAAUCGAACCUGGAGAUAGCUGGUUCUCUCCGAAAUAGCUUUAGGGCUAGCCUCAAGUGAUGAUUAUUGGAGGUAGAGCACUGUUUGGACGAGGGGCCCCUCUCGGGUUACCGAAUUCAGACAAACUCCGAAUGCCAAUUAAUUUAACUUGGGAGUCAGAACAUGGGUGAUAAGGUCCGUGUUCGAAAGGGAAACAGCCCAGACCACCAGCUAAGGUCCCAAAAUAUAUGUUAAGUGGAAAAGGAUGUGGCGUUGCCCAGACAACUAGGAUGUUGGCUUAGAAGCAGCCAUCAUUUAAAGAGUGCGUAAUAGCUCACUAGUCGAGUGACACUGCGCCGAAAAUGUACCGGGGCUAAACAUAUUACCGAAGCUGUGGAUUGUCCUUUGGACAAUGGUAGGAGAGCGUUCUAAGGGCGUUGAAGCAUGAUCGUAAGGACAUGUGGAGCGCUUAGAAGUGAGAAUGCCGGUGUGAGUAGCGAAAGACGGGUGAGAAUCCCGUCCACCGAUUGACUAAGGUUUCCAGAGGAAGGCUCGUCCGCUCUGGGUUAGUCGGGUCCUAAGCUGAGGCCGACAGGCGUAGGCGAUGGAUAACAGGUUGAUAUUCCUGUACCACCUAUAAUCGUUUUA